GAUGAACGCUAGCGAUAGGCUUAACACAUGCAAGUCGAGGGGCAGCAUGGUCUUAGCUUGCUAAGACUGAUGGCGACCGGCGCACGGGUGCGUAACGCGUAUGCAACUUGCCUCACAGAGGGGGAUAACCCGUCGAAAGACGGACUAAUACCGCGUACACUCCAUCUUGGGCAUCCAAGGUAGAGGAAAUGAAAUUCGCUGUGAGAUAGGCAUGCGUCCCAUUAGCUAGUUAGUGAGGUAACGGCUCACCAAGGCGACGAUGGGUAGGGGAACUGAGAGGUUGAACCCCCACACUGGUACUGAGACACGGACCAGACUCCUACGGGAGGCAGCAGUGAGGAAUAUUGGUCAAUGGGCGAGAGCCUGAACCAGCCAAGUCGCGUGAAGGAUGACUGUCUUAUGGAUUGUAAACUUCUUUUAUACGGGAAUAACAAGAGUCACGUGUGACUCCCUGCAUGUACCGUAUGAAUAAGCAUCGGCUAACUCCGUG
This 490-nucleotide ribosomal RNA is filed under the name uncultured bacterium. RNAcentral's name for it is "partial 16S ribosomal RNA". It matches the Rfam family "Bacterial small subunit ribosomal RNA", at positions 28 to 507 of the family's 1533-position model. The record is from RNAcentral.